RNAcentral lists this ribosomal RNA (776 nucleotides) under uncultured Sebacinales. Its description in RNAcentral is "eukaryotic LSU rRNA". It matches the Rfam family "Eukaryotic large subunit ribosomal RNA", at positions 186 to 949 of the family's 3401-position model. Lineage: Eukaryota; Fungi; Basidiomycota; Agaricomycetes; Sebacinales. The record is from RNAcentral.
UUCCCUGGAAUGGGGUGUCAUAGAGGGUGAGAAUCCCGUUUGUGGUGUGGACUACCUUGGCUCUGUGAUACACUCUCAACGAGUCGAGUUGUUUGGGAAUGCAGCUCAAAAUGGGUGGUAAAUUCCAUCUAAAGCUAAAUAUUGGCGAGAGACCGAUAGCGAACAAGUACCGUGAGGGAAAGAUGAAAAGCACUUUGGAAAGAGAGUGAAACAGUACGUGAAAUUGUUGAAAGGGAAGCGUUUGAAGUCAGUCACAUCGAUCGGAAUUCAGCCUGGCUUUGCCUGGUGUACUUUCUGGUAGAUGGGUCAGCGUCAAUUUCGACUGAGGGAAAAAGACUUGAGGAAUGUGGCUGUCUUCGGGCAGUGUUAUAGCCUCUUGUUGUAUGUCUCAGUUGGGAUUGAGGACCGCAGCACGCCAUUUGGCCGGGGUUCGCGCCCUCGGAACGUGCUUAGGACGCUGGCAUAAUGGCUUUAAGCGACCCGUCUUGAAACACGGACCAAGGAGUCUAACAUGUGCGCGAGUGUUUAGGUGUUAAACCUGGGCGCGUAAUGAAAGUGAAAGGUCGGGAUCAUGUACUUGUGCACCGACGCCCGGAGCAGACCUUCUGUGACGCAUCCGCGGUAGAGCGUAUAUGUUGGGACCCGAAAGAUGGUGAACUAUGCCUGAAUAGGGUGAAGCCAGAGGAAACUCUGGUGGAGGCUCGUAGCGAUUCUGACGUGCAGAUCGAUCGUCAAAUUUGGGUAUAGGGGCGAAAGACUAAUCGAACCAUCUAGUA